UGAGUUUGAUCCUGGCUCAGAACGAACGCUGGCGGCGUGCUUAACACAUGCAAGUCGAACGCGAAAGGGACUUCGGUCCUGAGUAAAGUGGCGCACGGGUGAGUAACACGCGGAUAAUCUACCCAGUGUUCCGGGAUAACAUCUCGAAAGGGGUGCUAAUACCGGAUAAGCCCACGGGAACUUCGGUUCUUGCGGGAAAAGGUGGGGACCUUUUAGGCCUACUGUCACUGGAUGAGUCCGCGGCCCAUUAGCUAGUUGGUAGGGUAAUGGCCUACCAAGGCUACGAUGGGUAGCUGGUCUGAGAGGAUGAUCAGCCACACUGGAACUGAGACACGGUCCAGACUCCUACGGGAGGCAGCAGUGGGGAGUUUUGCGCAAUGGGCGAAAGCCUGACGCAGCAACGCCGCGUGAGUGAUGAAGGCCUUCGGGUCGUAAAGCUCUGUCAGUGGGGAAGAACCGCCGGGUGGUUAAUACCUGCCUGGUCUGACGGUACCCACAAAGGAAGCACCGGCUAACUCCGUGCCAGCAGCCGCGGUAAUAC
RNAcentral lists this ribosomal RNA (541 nucleotides) under uncultured Geobacteraceae bacterium. RNAcentral's name for it is "bacterial SSU rRNA". It matches the Rfam family "Bacterial small subunit ribosomal RNA", at positions 1 to 526 of the family's 1533-position model. The record is from RNAcentral. Lineage: Bacteria; Pseudomonadati; Thermodesulfobacteriota; Desulfuromonadia; Geobacterales; Geobacteraceae.